This 1501-nucleotide ribosomal RNA is filed under the name Klebsiella sp. NN169S. Its description in RNAcentral is "bacterial SSU rRNA". It matches the Rfam family "Bacterial small subunit ribosomal RNA". The record is from RNAcentral. Lineage: Bacteria; Pseudomonadati; Pseudomonadota; Gammaproteobacteria; Enterobacterales; Enterobacteriaceae.
AGAGUUUGAUCCUGGCUCAGAUUGAACGCUGGCGGCAGGCCUAACACAUGCAAGUCGAGCGGUAGCACAGAGAGCUUGCUCUCGGGUGACGAGCGGCGGACGGGUGAGUAAUGUCUGGGAAACUGCCUGAUGGAGGGGGAUAACUACUGGAAACGGUAGCUAAUACCGCAUAACGUCGCAAGACCAAAGUGGGGGACCUUCGGGCCUCAUGCCAUCAGAUGUGCCCAGAUGGGAUUAGCUAGUAGGUGGGGUAACGGCUCACCUAGGCGACGAUCCCUAGCUGGUCUGAGAGGAUGACCAGCCACACUGGAACUGAGACACGGUCCAGACUCCUACGGGAGGCAGCAGUGGGGAAUAUUGCACAAUGGGCGCAAGCCUGAUGCAGCCAUGCCGCGUGUGUGAAGAAGGCCUUCGGGUUGUAAAGCACUUUCAGCGGGGAGGAAGGCGAUAAGGUUAAUAACCUCAUCGAUUGACGUUACCCGCAGAAGAAGCACCGGCUAACUCCGUGCCAGCAGCCGCGGUAAUACGGAGGGUGCAAGCGUUAAUCGGAAUUACUGGGCGUAAAGCGCACGCAGGCGGUCUGUCAAGUCGGAUGUGAAAUCCCCGGGCUCAACCUGGGAACUGCAUUCGAAACUGGCAGGCUAGAGUCUUGUAGAGGGGGGUAGAAUUCCAGGUGUAGCGGUGAAAUGCGUAGAGAUCUGGAGGAAUACCGGUGGCGAAGGCGGCCCCCUGGACAAAGACUGACGCUCAGGUGCGAAAGCGUGGGGAGCAAACAGGAUUAGAUACCCUGGUAGUCCACGCUGUAAACGAUGUCGAUUUGGAGGUUGUGCCCUUGAGGCGUGGCUUCCGGAGCUAACGCGUUAAAUCGACCGCCUGGGGAGUACGGCCGCAAGGUUAAAACUCAAAUGAAUUGACGGGGGCCCGCACAAGCGGUGGAGCAUGUGGUUUAAUUCGAUGCAACGCGAAGAACCUUACCUGGUCUUGACAUCCACAGAACUUUCCAGAGAUGGAUUGGUGCCUUCGGGAACUGUGAGACAGGUGCUGCAUGGCUGUCGUCAGCUCGUGUUGUGAAAUGUUGGGUUAAGUCCCGCAACGAGCGCAACCCUUAUCCUUUGUUGCCAGCGGUUAGGCCGGGAACUCAAAGGAGACUGCCAGUGAUAAACUGGAGGAAGGUGGGGAUGACGUCAAGUCAUCAUGGCCCUUACGACCAGGGCUACACACGUGCUACAAUGGCAUAUACAAAGAGAAGCGACCUCGCGAGAGCAAGCGGACCUCAUAAAGUAUGUCGUAGUCCGGAUUGGAGUCUGCAACUCGACUCCAUGAAGUCGGAAUCGCUAGUAAUCGUAGAUCAGAAUGCUACGGUGAAUACGUUCCCGGGCCUUGUACACACCGCCCGUCACACCAUGGGAGUGGGUUGCAAAAGAAGUAGGUAGCUUAACCUUCGGGAGGGCGCUUACCACUUUGUGAUUCAUGACUGGGGUGAAGUCGUAACAAGGUAACC